Molecule: long non-coding RNA, 3023 nt
Organism: Carassius auratus (goldfish)
Lineage: Eukaryota; Metazoa; Chordata; Actinopteri; Cypriniformes; Cyprinidae
Exons: 3
Source: RefSeq, a predicted model, not a curated record
AGCUAUUAUUAAACAGCUAAUUUGAAUGUGUCUGUGUGCCUCAACAUUCAAUCUGUGUGUGUUUAUGUGUGCCUAGUAGACUAAAUAGCUGCCAGAUCAAACCUGUCAUUCGUCUUUAUAUCUCACAGGAAAGAGGAGGAGAGAUAGAAAGGAGGGAGUCUUCAAGAAGAGGGAAAACAGAAGGAGGUGGAUCGAAACCACUUUCCACUGUAGCAGGAUGAGACAUGAUCUAACAAAAGGUGACUGGGAAUGACUGAGAUUGUGUGUGGGCGACUGAAUCUAAAUGGACUGGAUAUGCUGGCUUUAACAAAUUGGCAGAGAAAGAGAGAGAGAGAAGAGAAAUAGAGAAAGAGAGAGAGAACUGGUUUGUAUGUGAUUAAAAUACAGAAAGAAAUGCCAGCUCAGAUAGGUACAUGUUAAGUGCUCUUAAGUGCUCUUAAGUAGCCUACUUCAACUGUUAUUGUAUAGGCAGGCCCCUCCAGUGCACAUCUAGCUAGUACUGUUAUUUUGAUAUAUUUUUUAAUUCAAAUUUCCAUUCAUUGACAGAGUAGUCCAGGCACAGAAAGAGAUAUACCAGAGUGCAUUAAAUUGUCCUCUGCCUCUAAAAAACCUUUUGUGUAUUAUAUUUGUUUUUAUCUAUAUUGAUCUGUAAUAUGCAUAAAAUGUGUCAUCUGAUAUGAUAAUCCAUUCCAUAUUUUUUAUACAUAAUAUAUACACAUACCUGCUUCUAUUCUACAACUCUUCAAUUAUUCAGACAAUGGAGGUUACAUUUUAUUCAUAUUCCACAUCUUUGGUGCUCUGGUUGUGAGAUAAAUACUCUUGGCUGCUUAAAUAGCCCUGAAGCACAAGGAAAAAAUACUGAUGAGAACCGGGUUAUAUUAGAAAGAGAGAGAGAGAUUUCUUCUUUUCCAAUAUAUGUCCACAUUUCUUCAUUCUCUUUUGAGUCAGUUUCUUGCCUUUUUAUUUAUUUUACCUUUACUUCCAAUAAAUCAAGUUUUCUUUCUCUCAGAGUCUAUUUUAUAUGUGUUCCCUGAUGCUGUCUACACUAUUCUGGCAAACCUUUCACUAUCUCUCAGUACCCUAUUGUGCUUUCUCUGUUUAUCCUCUGUUCCUCUUCUUAUUCUUCUCUAUUUGAAAGAAAAAACUUCAGCAGCCUAAACUGACAGUCUGCUUCAUUUAGUUAUACGCCAUUGACCAAAGACUCUUAAUCAAUCACAGCAUUCACUUGGCACUACAUAAUUACUGUGAGCUAUGCAGUGGGUCUUUGAAGGGUCUUUGAAGUGGGUCUGAAAGGUCAUCCAUUCAUAUCUUUGAAGAAUAUUCACCUGUUUAACUUUGCAAUUGUUCUGCGGGCUUAGUAAAAUUAUUAUACUGGAUAGAUUCAGAUGAUCACACAGUUCUAUAAGUAGCCUUUAUAACCUUAUAAGCAGCCUUUGACUGAUAGUCCUAUUCAUCAGUUAAAGGGGAGAAAUCCUAUUGUGUGAGUGUGAUGUCCAUGUGUCAACUUUCCUUGCCUUAUUCAUUUCAUUUUAAGCCCUUCUAUUGACCGAACUGAUAUGGACAGUAGACAGACAUACUCAUACUCACACAAUAGCAUCAAAGCAUAGUGUAAGAAUGCAUAGUAUUUUUCUACUAGAGCUAUUAUGUAAGCAUCUUCUAGAUGAAAGCAAUUGCAUUGACAAAACAAGUACUCUCCCCCUCAGAAUAUGUUUGUAUUUAUAGUGCACAUCUGUACAUUAUUCUGCUACAUUUUCUAAUGUUCUGAAAUUAUUGCCUGAGGCUAUAGGGCACAAAACAUCCUCCUUCUCAAGUGUGCAAAUGCUAAUUUUCCAGCAUCUCUCUGGCUGUGACCUCAGCUCCGGCAGGAGUCUUAGAGAGGCUUAUGAGCUCAAAACCCAGAAACAUUGUCUUUCCUCUUCGCAUUUUGGAACAACCCUUUUAAAACCUGGAAUUAUCGCUGACGUGGAAACACCUUCCAAUUAGUGAGCAGGUCCCUUGAUUGUCACUUCUUCAUGCUUUCUGUGAAAGAAAACAGCUCAUUUCUAAAGGGGAAAAGUCGGAUCCAUUCCAGAAAAACAAUGUCAAUGUCCUCUUGUCCCAGUAAAAAAGUAAACUCUUGUAAUAACUUUUAGAUAUUUCUGCAGUUCCGUGUUUUACACAAUAUGCAAAUAUCAAUUUCCACUACUGACUAACAUGCUGUUUAUGGUUCGACAUUGCCACAACAUUGACCCAUGUUAACUAUUUUUCAGAAACAAACUUUUCUCUAGUGUAGCACCCACUGAAGCUCACUGAAUUUCUCUGAACAUCAAAAGAAUUCCACCUACAUCACAUAACAUAUUUAAAGAGAUACCAAAAUACACAUAACCAUUAAAAAAAAAAAAACUUAAAAAUGAUAACAUUUUAUGAUAUGACACUGCCAAAUAGCUAAAGAGUAUAGUGAAAAAAAAUCUGCUACAUUAUAAACUAUUUACUGUAUGCACAUACUGAAAGCAACAACAACAUUAAAUACUUAAUGGAUAUUGAGAUUAAUAAGUCAUUCCAGUAUUGCAUCUUGGAACUUAAAAAUGUGAGUAAGUGAGUGAAUGAAUGAAUGAAUUAAUUAAUUCAAAGAAAUGUAAAGGACAGGUUUCAAACAGCUUGGUGAUUUAAAGACAUGCAACAAGUGUAACGUGUUGAACCAUACAGUGUAAGUAAUUUUGCAAUAAAUAUAAUGUUAUGUAGGUUAACUGUAAGUCACUUUACCAUAUCUAACACGUUGCUGUAAAAUAUUGUAAAAAUGUUUUUUAAAAAAAAUUAAUCAAAAUCACCUUAUUUUAAUUCUCAGCCUUUAAAUCACAUUUGUUUUGAGAUAUAUUGGAUUGUUAUGUUGCAUUUUAAGGCGUUUAUUGCAUUAUUUUAAUAUCACGUUUGUUACUAGUGGUAUAUUUUAAUGCUCUGUCUUUAUAUUAGGCUACCUAUUAUUGGUGGUUGCUAACGUUGUUAGAGAGGAAUUUUUUAGUUAUAUAGAUAUAAAUAGGCUGGUA